RNAcentral lists this small RNA (582 nucleotides) under Pongo abelii (Sumatran orangutan). Its description in RNAcentral is "retained intron". Lineage: Eukaryota; Metazoa; Chordata; Mammalia; Primates; Hominidae. The record is from RNAcentral.
GUGCCUCGGAGGCGUGGGUGACGCAGGCGCAGCGCGGGUCGCGCGCGCUACCGCCCAUCCUCGGUUGUCCCACUUUUGUUCGCUUGUCUUCGCUCUUCUACGCAAGAGCUCCGUUUCCGUCUCGCCCUCCUCGAAGUCCUCGUCGCGCGCCCGCGACCCAGGUCGCCCUGAAAUCCAGCCCGUCCGAGCGCGAGUCCAACGGCCGCGGCCGCUCCAAGGCCCCCUCAGACCGUGCCAUGGGUGACAGUGAUGACGAGUACGAUCGAAGGCGCAGGGACAAGUUCAGAAGAGAGCGCAGCGACUACGACCGUUCCCGCGAGAGAGAUGAAAGACGUCGAGGGGACGAUUGGAAUGACAGGUGAACCGUUUUUAACUUCAUCUUGUCCCCGUUUCAUGCCGUUUCACUCCACCCGCGUCGCUUUUCUUUUUCCCCCUUGUAAUUUUUAUGAGGGCGAACCCUAUGAAAUGGCUUAUUGGACCGUUUGCUAUGGUUCAGCCUAUUUGCUGUUGGCCAAAUAACUAGCUGUGGCUUGGUUUUUGAAAUUCUCUGCAGAUCAGAGCUAUAGAGCUAAGAGUUUGAGU